GCCGGGUGUGGUGGUGCAUGCCUGUAAUCCCAGCGGCUUGGGAGGCUCAGACAGGAGGAUCAUGAGUUCAAAGCCACCCUCAGCAACAGCAAGGCACUAAGCAACUUAGUGAGACCCUGUCUCUA
Molecule: small RNA, 125 nt
Filed under: Marmota monax (woodchuck)
Lineage: Eukaryota; Metazoa; Chordata; Mammalia; Rodentia; Sciuridae
Source: RNAcentral